GACGAACGCUGGCGGCGUGCUUAACACAUGCAAGUCGAACGAUGAAGUUCCUUCGGGAAUGGAUUAGUGGCGAACGGGUGAGGAACACGUGAGAAACCUGCCUUUCAUUUUGGGAUAGCUCCGGGAAACCGGGGCUAAAACCGAAUACUCCGUCUCGGCGGCAUCGCUGAGCCGGGAAAACAUUUUGAUGAAAGAUGGUCUCGCGGCCUAUCAGCUAGUUGGUGAGGUAAUGGCUCACCAAGGCAACGACGGGUAGCCGGCCUGAGAGGGCGACCGGCCACACUGGGACUGAGACACGGCCCAGACUCCUACGGGAGGCAGCAGUGGGGAAUAUUGGGCAAUGGGCGCAAGCCUGACCCAGCGACGCCGCGUGAGGGAUGAAGGCCUUCGGGUUGUAAACCUCUUUCAGUAGGGAAGAAGCGAAAGUGACGGUACCUAAAGAAGAAGCACCGGCUAACUAUGUGCCAGCCGCCGCAGUAA
This 480-nucleotide ribosomal RNA is filed under the name uncultured bacterium. RNAcentral describes it as "partial 16S ribosomal RNA". It matches the Rfam family "Bacterial small subunit ribosomal RNA", at positions 28 to 523 of the family's 1533-position model. The record is from RNAcentral.